RNAcentral lists this RNase P RNA (379 nucleotides) under Actinotalea lenta. RNAcentral's name for it is "RNase P RNA component class A". It matches the Rfam family "Bacterial RNase P class A". From Rfam's summary of the family: Ribonuclease P (RNase P) is a ubiquitous endoribonuclease, found in archaea, bacteria and eukarya as well as chloroplasts and mitochondria. Its best characterised activity is the generation of mature 5'-ends of tRNAs by cleaving the 5'-leader elements of precursor-tRNAs. The record is from RNAcentral. Lineage: Bacteria; Bacillati; Actinomycetota; Actinomycetes; Micrococcales; Cellulomonadaceae.
UGAGUCGGCCAGGCGGUCGCGUCGUCGGGCUCCGGCCCGGCGCCGAGGAACGUCCGGGCUCCGCAGAGCAAGGUGGUGGGUAACACCCACCCGGGGUGACCCGCGGGACAGUGCCACAGAGAGCAGACCGCCCCGUCCUCGGACGGGGUAAGGGUGAAACGGCGGUGUAAGAGACCACCAGCGCACCGGGCGACCGGUGCGGCUCGGUAAACCCCACCUGGAGCAAGACCAGACAGGGAGCGUUCGAGGGCUGCUCGUCCGAGCUCCCGGGUAGGUCGCUGGAGGCGUGCGGCAACGUACGUCGUAGAUGGAUGGCCGCCACCUGUGCAGGGGCAACCGUGCACAGGGACAGAACCCGGCGUACCGGCCGACUCAUCCG